RNAcentral lists this transfer RNA (68 nucleotides) under Nemotelus notatus. RNAcentral describes it as "tRNA-Trp". It matches the Rfam family "tRNA". From Rfam's summary of the family: Transfer RNA (tRNA) molecules are approximately 80 nucleotides in length. Their secondary structure includes four short double-helical elements and three loops (D, anti-codon, and T loops). The record is from RNAcentral. Lineage: Eukaryota; Metazoa; Arthropoda; Insecta; Diptera; Stratiomyidae.
AAGGCUUUAAGUUAAUAAAACUAAUAGCCUUCAAAGCUAUAAAUAUAAGGUCAAUCUUUUAAGCCUUA